UACGGAGGGGGCUAGCGUUGUUCGGAAUUACUGGGCGUAAAGCGCGCGUAGGCGGCUUUGUAAGUUAGAGGUGAAAGCCCGGAGCUCAACUCCGGAAUUGCCUUUAAGACUGCAUCGCUAGAAUCAUGGAGAGGUGAGUGGAAUUCCGAGUGUAGAGGUGAAAUUCGUAGAUAUUAGGAAGAACACCGGUGGCGAAGGCGGCCCACUGGAUCGGUACUGACGCUGAGGUGCGAAAGCGUGGGGAGCAAACAGG
RNAcentral lists this ribosomal RNA (253 nucleotides) under uncultured bacterium. RNAcentral describes it as "partial 16S ribosomal RNA". It matches the Rfam family "Bacterial small subunit ribosomal RNA", at positions 524 to 776 of the family's 1533-position model. The record is from RNAcentral.